CGGAGCGUAGCGCAGUCUGGCAGCGCGCCUGCUUUGGGAGCAGGAUAUCGGAGGUUCAAAUCCUCUCGCUCCGACCA
RNAcentral lists this transfer RNA (77 nucleotides) under Desulfovibrio sp. RNAcentral's name for it is "tRNA-Pro". It matches the Rfam family "tRNA". Rfam says of the family: Transfer RNA (tRNA) molecules are approximately 80 nucleotides in length. Their secondary structure includes four short double-helical elements and three loops (D, anti-codon, and T loops). Lineage: Bacteria; Pseudomonadati; Thermodesulfobacteriota; Desulfovibrionia; Desulfovibrionales; Desulfovibrionaceae. The record is from RNAcentral.